GGAGGGGUACUCAAGUGGUUUAAGAGGCUCGCUUGGAAAGCGCGUAGAUCUGAAAAGAUGCGAGGGUUCGAAUCCCUUCUCCUCCG
RNAcentral lists this transfer RNA (86 nucleotides) under Candidatus Phytoplasma pruni. It matches the Rfam family "tRNA". From Rfam's summary of the family: Transfer RNA (tRNA) molecules are approximately 80 nucleotides in length. Their secondary structure includes four short double-helical elements and three loops (D, anti-codon, and T loops). The record is from Rfam by way of RNAcentral. Lineage: Bacteria; Bacillati; Mycoplasmatota; Mollicutes; Acholeplasmatales; Acholeplasmataceae.